GAUCAUGGCUCAGGAUGAACGCUAGCGGCAGGCUUAACACAUGCAAGUCGAGGGGCAGCGCGUGUAGCAAUACAUGGCGGCGACCGGCGCAAGGGUGCGUAACGCGUGAGCAACAUGCCCGCAACAGGGGGAUAACCGGUGGAAACGCCGACUAAUACCCCAUAAGGAUGCAGAGCGGCAUCGUUCAGCAUCUAAACUUACGAGGGUUGCGGAUUGGCUCGCGAGACAUUAGGUAGACGGCGGGGUAACGGCCCACCGUGCCGACGAUGUCUAGGGGUUCUGAGAGGAAGGUCCCCCACACUGGAACUGAGACACGGUCCAGACUCCUACGGGAGGCAGCAGUGAGGAAUAUUGGACAAUGGCCGGAAGGCUGAUCCAGCCAUGCCGCGUGAAAAGGAAGACGGUCCUAUGGAUUGUAAACUUCUUUUGUACGAGAGCAAUAAGGGCGUCGUGACGUCCGAUGAGAGUAUCGUACGAAUAAGCAUCGGCUAACUCCGUGCCAGCCGCCGC
This 510-nucleotide ribosomal RNA is filed under the name uncultured bacterium. RNAcentral's name for it is "bacterial SSU rRNA". It matches the Rfam family "Bacterial small subunit ribosomal RNA", at positions 15 to 518 of the family's 1533-position model. The record is from RNAcentral.